AUUGAACGCUGGCGGCAGGCCUAACACAUGCAAGUCGAGCGGUAGAGAGGUGCUUGCAUCUCUUGAGAGCGGCGGACGGGUGAGUAAUGCCUAGGAAUCUGCCUGGUGGUGGGGGAUAACGUUCGGAAACGGACGCUAAUACCGCAUACGUCCUACGGGAGAAAGCGGGGGGAUCUUCGGACCUCGCGCCAUUAGAUGAGCCUAGGUCGGAUUAGCUAGUUGGUGAGGUAAUGGCUCACCAAGGCGACGAUCCGUAACUGGUCUGAGAGGAUGAUCAGUCACACUGGAACUGAGACACGGUCCAGACUCCUACGGGAGGCAGCAGUGGGGAAUAUUGGACAAUGGGCGCAAGCCUGAUCCAGCCAUGCCGCGUGUGUGAAGAAGG
RNAcentral lists this ribosomal RNA (385 nucleotides) under uncultured bacterium. RNAcentral describes it as "bacterial SSU rRNA". It matches the Rfam family "Bacterial small subunit ribosomal RNA", at positions 30 to 414 of the family's 1533-position model. The record is from RNAcentral.